CUACGGGUGGCACCAGUGGGGAAUAUUGCACAAUGGAGGAAACUCUGAUGCAGCAACGCCGCGUGGAGGAUGACACUUUUCGGAGCGUAAACUCCUUUUAUAUAGGAAGAAGAUGACGGUACUAUAUGAAUAAGCGCCGGCUAACUCCGUGCCAGCAGCCGCGGUGAAUACGGAGGGCGCAAGCGUUACUCGGAAUCACUGGGCGUAAAGAGCGUGUAGGCGGAUUAAAAAGUCAGAAGUGAAAUCCUAUAGCUUAACUAUAGAACUGCUCCUGAAACUCUUAAUCUAGAAUAUGGGAGAGGUAGAUGGAAUUUCUGGUGUAGGGGUAAAAUCCGUAGAGAUCAGAAGGAAUACCGAUUGCGAAGGCGAUCUACUAGAACAUUAUUGACGCUGAGACGCGAAAGCGUGGGGAGCAAACAGGAUUAGAUACCCGGGUAGUC
RNAcentral lists this ribosomal RNA (440 nucleotides) under uncultured bacterium. Its description in RNAcentral is "partial 16S ribosomal RNA". It matches the Rfam family "Bacterial small subunit ribosomal RNA", at positions 339 to 795 of the family's 1533-position model. The record is from RNAcentral.